CUUGCUAGAACUUAGAGACAGGUGCUGCACGGCUGUCGUCAGCUCGUGUCGUGAGAUGUUGGGUUAAGUCCCGCAACGAGCGCAACCCACGUAUUUAGUUGCUAACGGUUCGGCCGAGCACUCUAAAUAGACUGCCUUCGUAAGGAGGAGGAAGGUGUGGACGACGUCAAGUCAUCAUGGCCCUUAUGCCCAGGGCGACACACGUGCUACAAUGGCAUAUACAAUGAGACGCAAUACCGCGAGGUGGAGCAAAUCUAUAAAAUAUGUCCCAGUUCGGAUUGUUCUCUGCAACUCGAGAGCAUGAAGCCGGAAUCGCUAGUAAUCGUAGAUCAGCCAUGCUACGGUGAAUACGUUCCCGGGUCUUGUACUCACCGCCCGUCACACCAUGGGAGUUGAUUUCACUCGAAGCCGGAAUACUAAACUAGUUACCGUCCACAGUGGAAUCAGCGACUGGGGUGAAGUCGUAACAAGGUAACCGUAGGAGAACCUGCGGUUGGAUCACCUCCUUU
RNAcentral lists this ribosomal RNA (509 nucleotides) under Campylobacter coli. RNAcentral's name for it is "bacterial SSU rRNA". It matches the Rfam family "Bacterial small subunit ribosomal RNA", at positions 1017 to 1533 of the family's 1533-position model. Lineage: Bacteria; Pseudomonadati; Campylobacterota; Epsilonproteobacteria; Campylobacterales; Campylobacteraceae. The record is from RNAcentral. RNAcentral also lists the same sequence under 2 other names.